GAAAAUUGGUGGAUUUUAAGUAAUCAAGCAAUCAAAGGUGGUGAGUCCUCCAACAAGGGCAAGAAAAUUGUACCCGAGGAUCGAUAAUCAGAGUACUUUAGAAAUUCAACUCCUGAAAUAGCUCAGAAUAGACUGUAGAUAGCUGAUCGCAUCGAGGACUA
This is a non-coding RNA of Theobroma cacao (cacao), 161 nucleotides long. The record is from RefSeq and is a predicted model, not a curated record. Lineage: Eukaryota; Viridiplantae; Streptophyta; Magnoliopsida; Malvales; Malvaceae.